This 250-nucleotide ribosomal RNA is filed under the name uncultured prokaryote. RNAcentral's name for it is "partial 16S ribosomal RNA". It matches the Rfam family "Bacterial small subunit ribosomal RNA", at positions 524 to 774 of the family's 1533-position model. The record is from RNAcentral.
UACGUAGGGAGCGAGCGUUAUCCGGAUUUAUUGGGCGUAAAGGGUGCGUAGGCUGUUUGAUAAGUCUGUGGUUUAAGUCCGAAGCUUAACUUCGGUGCGCCACAGAAACUGUCUUGCUUGAGUAUGGUAGAGGCAAGUGGAAUUUCUAGUGUAGCGGUUAAAUGCGUAGAUAUUAGAAGGAACACCAGUGGCGAAGGCGACUUGCUGGGCCAUCACUGACGCUGAGGCACGAAAGCGUGGGGAGCAAAUA